Molecule: long non-coding RNA, 794 nt
Filed under: Vulpes vulpes (red fox)
Lineage: Eukaryota; Metazoa; Chordata; Mammalia; Carnivora; Canidae
Description: lncRNA (ENSVVUG00000006672.1)
Source: RNAcentral
UGGGGACGGUGGGAGGGCGCGCGGUAAUGACGUCGGAGCGGCGCGGUCGGCCGCGGGGCGUGGUCGAAGAGGUUUGUCGUUCCCCACUCAACUCCGCGCCGUCUCAUCCUCGCUAGCAGAGUCCAGGUCUCUAGCCCGGAUCUGGCUCAGAAGCUGCCCUCUGCAGCAGCUCCCUGGGGGACGAUGGGACCUGCGUGUCCUGCAGACCCCUCACGACCCGUGUGUCAAAAACUGGAUUCCUGUUUUCCUUGAGGACCCCUUUGCCCCCGGGUAAAGGAGAGCUCGUCCCGGAGCCACUCGGCGCACCGACCGCCGCUGCGACACCCCGGAGCGCCGAGCUGAGUCGGGCCACCCGGGCCAGUCUGGCCCAGACAGCGGGGACCCAAGAACUUCGCGUGGUCCCUUCUACAGGAGACUAGAAGGAGGGAUGGUGCGGAGCCGCGUCUCCCGCUCGAGCUUGCCCACCCACUGCCUGGGAACGUGCACGUCUAACAGGCUUCCCGGUGUGGGUGAUGCUGCUGUCUGGGGAUAUUUUGACAACCACUCACGUAGUAAUUGAGUGUAUAGACUCCGGAAUUAAAUGGGACUUGCUUUAAAUCUCACCUCUGCUAUUCACUGUCUCUGUCACCUUUUUGAGCCUCUAUUAAAUUACUGAAAGUACUCGCUUGUGAGAAUUAGAUGGUGGAGACAUGACUGUAUUCAUGGGUGGCAAAAAACAAACAUAGAAUGAAAGCAAACAAGCUGAAGAAAAACGGUAUUUCCAAUAAAAUAGUACUCUUUAAAGAAAAUCCGCA